Molecule: ribosomal RNA, 253 nt
Filed under: uncultured bacterium
Lineage: Bacteria
Description: partial 16S ribosomal RNA
Rfam family: Bacterial small subunit ribosomal RNA
Source: RNAcentral
UACGAAGGGGGCUAGCGUUGUUCGGAUUUACUGGGCGUAAAGCGUGCGCAGGCGGUUGUGCAAGACAGAUGUGAAAUCCCCGGGCUUAACCUGGGAACUGCAUUUGUGACUGCACGGCUAGAGUGUGUCAGAGGGGGGUAGAAUUCCACGUGUAGCAGUGAAAUGCGUAGAUAUGUGGAGGAAUACCGAUGGCGAAGGCAGCCCCCUGGGAUAACACUGACGCUCAUGCACGAAAGCGUGGGGAUCAAACAGG